This 568-nucleotide ribosomal RNA is filed under the name Curvularia trifolii. RNAcentral describes it as "eukaryotic LSU rRNA". The stretch from base 186 to 339 matches the Rfam family "5.8S ribosomal RNA". The record is from RNAcentral. Lineage: Eukaryota; Fungi; Ascomycota; Dothideomycetes; Pleosporales; Pleosporaceae.
UACUAUGAGGCUGUACGCGGCUGUGCUCUCGGGCGCAGUGCUGCUGAGGCUGGAUUAUUUAUUUACCCUUGUCUUUUGCGCACUUGUUGUUUCCUGGGCGGGUUCGCCCGCCGCCAGGACCACACCAUAAACCUUUUUUUAUGCAGUUGCAAUCAGCGUCAGUACAACAAAUGUAAAUCAUUUACAACUUUCAACAACGGAUCUCUUGGUUCUGGCAUCGAUGAAGAACGCAGCGAAAUGCGAUACGUAGUGUGAAUUGCAGAAUUCAGUGAAUCAUCGAAUCUUUGAACGCACAUUGCGCCCUUUGGUAUUCCAAAGGGCAUGCCUGUUCGAGCGUCAUUUGUACCCUCAAGCUUUGCUUGGUGUUGGGCGUCUUGUCUUUUGGCUCUUUGCCCAAAGACUCGCCUUAAAACGAUUGGCAGCCGGCCUACUGGUUUCGCAGCGCAGCACAUUUUUGCGCUUGCAAUCAGCAAAAGAGGACGGCACUCCAUCAAGACUCCUUCUCACGUUUGACCUCGGAUCAGGUAGGGAUACCCGCUGAACUUAAGCAUAUCAAUAAGCGGAGGAA